RNAcentral lists this ribosomal RNA (499 nucleotides) under uncultured bacterium. RNAcentral describes it as "bacterial SSU rRNA". It matches the Rfam family "Bacterial small subunit ribosomal RNA", at positions 899 to 1397 of the family's 1533-position model. The record is from RNAcentral.
ACUCAAAGGAAUAGACGGGGACCCGCACAAGCGGUGGAUGAUGUGGAUUAAUUCGAUGCAACGCGAAAAACCUUACCUACCCUUGACAUGUCAGGAAGAUUCCAGAGAUGGGAUUGUGCCCGAAAGGGAGCCUGAACACAGGUGCUGCAUGGCUGUCGUCAGCUCGUGUCGUGAGAUGUUGGGUUAAGUCCCGCAACGAGCGCAACCCUUGUCAUUAAUUGCCAUCAUUAAGUUGGGCACUUUAAUGAGACUGCCGGUGACAAACCGGAGGAAGGUGGGGACGACGUCAAGUCCUCAUGGCCCUUAUGGGUAGGGCUUCACACGUCAUACAAUGGUCAGUUCAGAGGGUUGCCAACCCGCGAGGGGGAGCUAAUCCCAGAAAGCUGAUCGUAGUCCGGAUUGCAGUCUGCAACUCGACUGCAUGAAGUAGGAAUCGCUAGUAAUCGCGGAUCAGCGUGCCGCGGUGAAUACGUUCCCGGGUCUUGUACACACCGCCCGU